GGGCGCUUAGCGCAGGGGUAGCGCGUUCGCUUCGCAUGUUCUGAACAUGUUUGCGAAAGGUCGUUGGUUCAAAUCCUACAGUGUCCA
Mycena vitilis is the source of this 87-nucleotide non-coding RNA. The record is from the annotation of a GenBank genome assembly. NCBI's taxonomy places the organism in Eukaryota, Fungi, Basidiomycota, Agaricomycetes, Agaricales, Mycenaceae.